Molecule: ribosomal RNA, 158 nt
Filed under: Pimpinella peregrina
Lineage: Eukaryota; Viridiplantae; Streptophyta; Magnoliopsida; Apiales; Apiaceae
Also listed under: 1 other name
Description: 5.8S ribosomal RNA
Rfam family: 5.8S ribosomal RNA
About the family: 5.8S ribosomal RNA (5.8S rRNA) is a component of the large subunit of the eukaryotic ribosome. It is transcribed by RNA polymerase I as part of the 45S precursor that also contains 18S and 28S rRNA.
Source: RNAcentral
ACUCUCGACAACGGAUAUCCCGGCUCUCGCAUCGAUGAAGAACGUAGCGAAAUGCGAUACUUGGUGUGAAUUGCAGAAUCCCGUGAACCAUCGAGUCUUUGAACGCAAGUUGCGCCCGAAGCCACUAGGCUGAGGGCACGUCUGCCUGGGUGUCACGC